Molecule: ribosomal RNA, 714 nt
Filed under: Triticum aestivum (bread wheat)
Lineage: Eukaryota; Viridiplantae; Streptophyta; Magnoliopsida; Poales; Poaceae
Description: partial small subunit ribosomal RNA
Source: RNAcentral
AUGGCUUGCUACCCAUGCAACCCUCUCCCCCACCGCCCACCAGGCACCACCAUCACCCCCGGCCCUCUUCGUGCUCGUUGUGGCUAUGUAGUACUUGGAGGAGAUCUUCCCAUGGUGUGUGAUGAAUGGGCUAUUGCCACCCUUGUUCCGGAAGUUUCUGCAGAGGAAUUCCACGACGCCAUUGCUCUGAUCACUACCUUCCUUGAAGGUCGCAGAUGGCGCAUCAACUAUACUUCUUGCUGCGGUAUGGGUACUGCUCUCAUAGAGUUCACUACUGCCUGCUCUAGAGAUACUAUUGUCAGUCAUAGCCCAUUUCAGAUUGGUGACUCUGUUUUGAGGAUCGGUUGGCAGGACAGAGGUCUGAACUAUCGUAGCAUCACUUUCACUCAUGAUAUUUGGAUCUUAAUGAUGAACUACCCUCUUGAAUGCUGGGAUGUUGGGGUUGUUAGUUGCUCUGUUUCUCCCUAUGGCUAAUUUCUAAUCUGGAAUAAAGAUCCUAAGGUUAAAACUGGAAUUAUUGUGAAGAUCAGAGUUAUGAAUGCUGACACUGUUCCUAUCAGUAUUGUUGUGCUCCGAAAUCAUGAUGAUGUUGGUUAUGGGGAUUCCUGGACAUGCCCCACAUAUAUUCUAUCUAGUGAAUUAAUUGGGCAGCAGAGUGGAGAUGAGGAUCCACUUCCACUAGAUGGUGGCAAUCCACAGGUAGGGUUUUUUUAG